This 1237-nucleotide long non-coding RNA is filed under the name Sus scrofa (pig). Its description in RNAcentral is "lncRNA (ENSSSCG00050006408.1)". Lineage: Eukaryota; Metazoa; Chordata; Mammalia; Artiodactyla; Suidae. The record is from RNAcentral.
AUGAAAUCCUUUAGCGCUCUGCGAACUCCAUCGCACCCCCUGAAACUCGGUCCCAGCACGUUUGGACGGAGAGAAGGUAUGAAGCGGGUGUGUGGAAGGGAUAUGGUCUCUCUUCAUCGUAACCCUGAUUCCCACCAGGAGGAACCCAGGCGUUGGGGCACCGUCUCCCUCCACACAGGAGCAGACGACCCAGAAGAGGGCAGCUGGGCUUCAGCCUGGGCAGGAAAUGGGAACAUCUCCAUCCAGGUCCAAGGAACCAUUUGGGAGAAGCUCCAGACCAUGCAAGGAGAAAAGAGAAACACAAAUGCUCUCCCUGGUAAGCAAUUGACAGAACGCAGAGAUUCCACUUAAACAGCAAGCAAGAUGGAGAGGUGAAAGGAGCGGGCGUUGACCAGCCCAAGGGCACAGGUAAGGUCGUUGAAUUUCCACCUCUGGUGUCCUUUCCACUUAGAGAGAUGCACAUCUGGAGGCAGGGGGAUGACGGUGGCCUUUGGAGCUUUGGUUUUGUACCUUGAUGGUAUUUCCGUAUUUCCAGAUGAGGAAAAUGAAGGCGGGAAAGAUUCUGUGACUCUUUGGCAGAAGGACAGUGUCCAAACUCAUCAGAAUCCAGUGUCUCGACUCUUUCUAGUGUGUGCUCUUUCUAGAAAGUCUGCUGCCUCUUCCUUGGAGUUGUGUAUUCUGGGUACUGGGAAGAUAAAAUAAGACCGAAUCUAGAAUUCAUGUGCACACGCUGGAUUGGAAUGGGAUGGCGGGGCCCCAGGGGAGGCUUCCAGCUCUGAGUCUAAGAUGCUGCAGGGGCGCCAUCUAGUUGGAGAGAUUCCUUCAGAAUCAUAAAGCCUCCGUUAAAGUUAAUAGGAGUUUCCGUCGUGGCUUAGCAGGUAAAGGAACCGACCUUGUCUCUCUGAGGAUGCAGAUUUGAUCCCUGGCCUCGCUCAGUGGGUUAAGGAUCAGCAUUGCUGCAAGCUGCAGCAUAGGUCACAGAUGCAGCUUGGAUCCAGUGUUGCCAUGGCUGUGGUGUAGACUGCAGCUGCAGCUCUGAUUCAACCCUUGGCCCAGAACUUCCAUAUGCCACAGAUGAGGCCGUAAAGGAAAAAAAAAAAAAAAAAGAAAGAAAAGAAAAGAAAAGACAAAAAGUUGAUAUAGCAUAGGGGUCAAGGCAGGAAGGACCUUAUCAGAGAAUGCUUCCUAGGAAGGGACCCGAGGCAAUAAAUACUCACUGUUAAUUCUGAGUUGAUCA